This is a long non-coding RNA of Melospiza melodia melodia, 870 nucleotides long. RefSeq lists it as uncharacterized. NCBI's taxonomy places the organism in Eukaryota, Metazoa, Chordata, Aves, Passeriformes, Passerellidae. The record is from RefSeq and is a predicted model, not a curated record. The transcript has 4 exons.
CAGAUUUUAAGGUCCCUCAGUCUGAACAAGAUGCACUUGUGUCUCAGGAUCACAGCCCUGAGCUCUCGGAGGUACGAGUCCGUCUCCCUCUCCCCCUUUCUCUCGCACUCACGGUCCGACCAGGAGCUUUGCUCUCAGCCACUGCUCUGAAGACAACUGGAUGUGUCCCAGACCCAAGCUGCCACCACUGCUCACUCAGGAUUUGACAGUGCCAAGUGGCUCCUGCAAAGUGACACCAGGAACCUGGGCUGAGAACUGCAAAUGUCCAGCACCUCUAGGUCUGUGUCUUGUUCAACUCCAGCCUGCUGACACACUGAUGAACAGCAUCUGCCAAUUCAAAGCAGCUCUGACCAGACUGACUUGAUGCAAUCUGGCAACCUUAAUCAUCUUAAGCUGUCCUCUGGAAUACCUGUUCUGCAUCUCAAAGUGCCUUUUCCACACAAGUAAAAAUGGUUGGUGUAACUUUGUAGAAAAUCAUUGUUUUUUAACACUGGACAAAAUGUUCUACAUCUGGAUAGCAUGGACAAAUAGACAAAGCCCCCUUUUAUUCUCCCAGGUUAACAUUUCCUGGAAGAAAGGAGGGCAUGAUUUAGAGGAAGAGCUGAGGCCUGAACAUAUGGUUGCUGUAACCUGUGCAACAUAAGCUGAGAGAAGGAGAGGGUAGCUCAUCCAAGUUCUAUUCUGGAAUACAUCUAAGACACACCCAUAGGCAUGGUAUAGACAAACCAAAGUAUCACACACAUAACAGGCUUAAAGAAAAAAGCAGAAAUAAAAGGCCUUUUGCUAAUUUUCUUGCUAGCAGCAAGGGUGAUGUCUGCCUUUGGAAAGGGAGUUGGAGGCCAGUGGCAAUAGGAGAACAAAUUAGCUGUA